GGAGCUGUGCCUGAAUGCCAAAGGACCACUUUGAUAGAGUGAGACAUGGGAGUUAAAACCCCCCCAGCUCCU
RNAcentral lists this transfer RNA (72 nucleotides) under Bunocephalus coracoideus (banjo catfish). RNAcentral describes it as "tRNA-Ile". It matches the Rfam family "tRNA". From Rfam's summary of the family: Transfer RNA (tRNA) molecules are approximately 80 nucleotides in length. Their secondary structure includes four short double-helical elements and three loops (D, anti-codon, and T loops). Lineage: Eukaryota; Metazoa; Chordata; Actinopteri; Siluriformes; Aspredinidae. The record is from RNAcentral.